This 174-nucleotide ribosomal RNA is filed under the name Triticum aestivum (bread wheat). RNAcentral describes it as "partial small subunit ribosomal RNA". Lineage: Eukaryota; Viridiplantae; Streptophyta; Magnoliopsida; Poales; Poaceae. The record is from RNAcentral.
GAAGUUAAUAGCACCGCAAAGCAUUUUGUUGAUUUCACAGAAGCAGAGGAAGAUCUUGUUUUCAGAAUGCACAGGCUUGUCGGGAACAGGUGGGAACUUAUAGCUGGAAGAAUCCCCGGAAGAACAGCAGAAGAAGUAGAGAUGUUCUGGGCAAAAAGGCACCAGGACCAAUGA